RNAcentral lists this ribosomal RNA (538 nucleotides) under uncultured Acinetobacter sp. Its description in RNAcentral is "bacterial SSU rRNA". It matches the Rfam family "Bacterial small subunit ribosomal RNA", at positions 86 to 619 of the family's 1533-position model. Lineage: Bacteria; Pseudomonadati; Pseudomonadota; Gammaproteobacteria; Moraxellales; Moraxellaceae. The record is from RNAcentral.
CAUUACCUAGCGGCGGACGGGUGAGUAAUGCUUAGGAAUCUGCCUAUUAGUGGGGGACAACAUUCCGAAAGGAAUGCUAAUACCGCAUACGUCCUACGGGAGAAAGCAGGGGACCUUCGGGCCUUGCGCUAAUAGAUGAGCCUAAGUCGGAUUAGCUAGUUGGUGGGGUAAAGGCCUACCAAGGCGACGAUCUGUAGCGGGUCUGAGAGGAUGAUCCGCCACACUGGGACUGAGACACGGCCCAGACUCCUACGGGAGGCAGCAGUGGGGAAUAUUGGACGAUGGGGGGAACCCUGAUCCAGCCAUGCCGCGUGUGUGAAGAAGGCCUUUUGGUUGUAAAGCACUUUAAGCGAGGAGGAGGUUCCUAUAGAUAAUACCUAUAGAGAGUGGACGUUACUCGCAGAAUAAGCACCGGCUAACUCUGUGCCAGCAGCCGCGGUAAUACAGAGGGUGCAAGCGUUAAUCGGAUUUACUGGGCGUAAAGCGUAUGUAGGUGGUCUUUUAAGUCGGAUGUGAAAUCCCUGAGCUUAACUUAGGA